RNAcentral lists this ribosomal RNA (240 nucleotides) under uncultured bacterium. RNAcentral's name for it is "partial 16S ribosomal RNA". It matches the Rfam family "Bacterial small subunit ribosomal RNA", at positions 80 to 334 of the family's 1533-position model. The record is from RNAcentral.
CAAUCCAUGAGUAAAGUGGCGACCGGGUGAGUAACACGUGACUAACCUACCUUCGAGUGGGGGAUAACCUCGGGAAACCGGGGCUAAUACCGCAUAAUGCCUUCGGGUUAAAGGAGCAAUUCGCUUGAAGAGGGGGUCGCGGCUGAUUAGCUAGUUGGCGGGGUAAUGGCCCACCAAGGCGAUGAUCGGUAGCCGGCCUGAGAGGGCGCACGGCCACACUGGAACUGAAACACGGUCCAG